This 497-nucleotide ribosomal RNA is filed under the name uncultured bacterium. Its description in RNAcentral is "partial 16S ribosomal RNA". It matches the Rfam family "Bacterial small subunit ribosomal RNA", at positions 28 to 507 of the family's 1533-position model. The record is from RNAcentral.
GACGAACGCUGGCGGCGUGCCUAACACAUGCAAGUCGAACGGUGAAGCGCCUUCCUUUUUGGUGGGUGUGGAUGAGUGGCGAACGGGUGAGUAACACGUGAGUAACCUGCCCCCUUCUUCUGGAUAACCGCAUGAAAGUGUGGCUAAUACGGGAUAUUCUGGGUCUGUCGCAUGAUGGGUCUGGGAAAGAUAUGGUUUCGGUGGGGGAUGGGCUCGCGGCCGAUCAGCUUGUUGGUGAGGUGAUGGCCUACCAAGGCGGCGACGGGUAGCCGGCCUGAGAGGGUGAUCGGCCACACUGGAACUGAGACACGGCCCAGACUCCUACGGGAGGCAGCAGUAGGGAAUCUUACGCAAAGGGCGGAAGCCUGAUGGAGCAACGACGCGUGAGUGAUGAAGGUCGUCGUAUCGUAAAACUCUGUUAUUAGGGAAGAACAAAUGUUGAAGUAACUAUGCACGUCUUGACGGUACCUAAUCAGAAAGCCACGGCUAACUACGUG